UACGUAGGGUGCAAGCGUUGUCCGGAAUUAUUGGGCGUAAAGAGCUCGUAGGCGGUCUGUCGCGUCGGAUGUGAAAACCCAGGGCUCAACCCUGGGCCUGCAUUCGAUACGGGCAGACUAGAGUUCGGUAGGGGAGACUGGAAUUCCUGGUGUAGCGGUGAAAUGCGCAGAUAUCAGGAGGAACACCAAUAGCGAAGGCAGCUUGCUGGGACGGUACUGACGCUAAGGCGCGAAAGCGUGGGGAGCGAACAGG
RNAcentral lists this ribosomal RNA (253 nucleotides) under uncultured bacterium. RNAcentral's name for it is "partial 16S ribosomal RNA". It matches the Rfam family "Bacterial small subunit ribosomal RNA", at positions 524 to 776 of the family's 1533-position model. The record is from RNAcentral.